GAUGAAGAACGCAGCGAAAUGCGAUAAGUAAUGUGAAUUGCAGAAUUCAGUGAAUCAUCGAAUCUUUGAACGCACAUUGCGCCCCUUGGUAUUCCGAGGGGCAUGCCUGUUCGAGCGUCAUUACACCACUCAAGCUAUGCUUGGUAUUGGGCGUCGUCCUUAGUUGGGCGCGCCUUAAAGACCUCGGCGAGGCCACUCCGGCUUUAGGCGUAGUAGAAUUUAUUCGAACGUCUGUCAAAGGAGAGGAGCUCUGCCGACUGAAACCUUUAUUUUUCUAGGUUGACCUCGGAUCAGGUAGGGAUACCCGCUGAACUUAAGCAUAUCAAUAAGCGGAGGA
Molecule: unclassified non-coding RNA, 337 nt
Filed under: soil metagenome
Description: partial contains 5.8S ribosomal RNA, internal transcribed spacer 2, and large subunit ribosomal RNA
Rfam family: 5.8S ribosomal RNA (bases 1-120)
Source: RNAcentral